Molecule: transfer RNA, 71 nt
Organism: Verticillium dahliae VdLs.17
Lineage: Eukaryota; Fungi; Ascomycota; Sordariomycetes; Glomerellales; Plectosphaerellaceae
Rfam family: tRNA
About the family: Transfer RNA (tRNA) molecules are approximately 80 nucleotides in length. Their secondary structure includes four short double-helical elements and three loops (D, anti-codon, and T loops).
Source: Rfam
UGUGGGUUGAUGUAAUAGUAACAUAUUUGGCUCAUGACCAAAAGUCAGAGGUGCAAAUCCUUUAUCCGCAU